AUACGUAGGGGGCGAGCGUUGUCCGGAAUGAUUGGGCGUAAAGGGCGCGUAGGCGGCUUUGCAAGUCAGUAGUGGAAGUCCAUUUUUCAAGGAUGGAAGUGCUACAGAAACUGCGGAGCUUGAGUGCAGGAGAGGUUAUCGGAAUUCCCGGUGUAGCGGGGAAAUGCGUAGAGAUCGGGAGGAACACCAGUGGCGAAGGCGGGUAACUGGACUGCAACUGACGCUGAGGCGCGAAAGUGUGGGGAGCAAACAGGAUUAGAUACCCUGGUAGUCCACACUGUAAACGAUGAAUGCUAGGUGUAGGGGGUAUCGACUCCCUCUGUGCCGCAGUUAACACAAUAAGUAUUCCGCCUGGGGAGUACGGCCGCAAGGUUGAAACUCAAAGGAAUUGACGGGG
Molecule: ribosomal RNA, 397 nt
Filed under: uncultured bacterium
Lineage: Bacteria
Description: partial 16S ribosomal RNA
Rfam family: Bacterial small subunit ribosomal RNA
Source: RNAcentral